UUUAUUCCUGGGGCUCUGCUUUAUGUUUCUUCGGGCUGGUUCACGUCUGCCAUCUCAUAGGAUUAUGGAACUAUCCAUGGAUACCACAGAGAAGAGAGGUGAAGUUGCAAGACCCAUCUACCCCUCACCAGAUUGUACCGUCACCCGUAUCUGACCUUAUUGCUACUCACACUCUAUGUCCCAGGAUGAAAUACCAAGAUGAUGUAGGGGUGUCCCCUCAAGAUGUGAAGCACUUGCUUAUCUGGAAAAUGCAAUCGAG
Molecule: long non-coding RNA, 259 nt
Filed under: Pan troglodytes (chimpanzee)
Lineage: Eukaryota; Metazoa; Chordata; Mammalia; Primates; Hominidae
Description: lincRNA
Source: RNAcentral